RNAcentral lists this small nuclear RNA (23 nucleotides) under Arabidopsis thaliana (thale cress). RNAcentral describes it as "snRNA_04719". The record is from RNAcentral. Lineage: Eukaryota; Viridiplantae; Streptophyta; Magnoliopsida; Brassicales; Brassicaceae.
ACUUUACUGUCUUCAAUUUCCAA